GAUGAAGAACGCAGCGAAAUGCGAUAAGUAAUGUGAAUUGCAGAAUUCAGUGAAUCAUCGAAUCUUUGAACGCACAUUGCGCCCGCCAGUAUUCUGGCGGGCAUGCCUGUUCGAGCGUCAUUUCAACCAUCAAGCCCUGCUUGCGUUGGGGUCCUGCGGCUGCCCGCAGGCCCUGAAAACCAGUGGCGGGCUCGCUAGUCACACCGAGCGCAGUAAUACAUCUCGCUUUGGGCGUGCGGCGGGUUCUUGCCGUUAAACACCCCCUUUUUACCAAGGUUGACCUCGGAUCAGGUAGGAAUACACGCUGAACUUAAGCAUAUCAAUAAGCGGAGGA
RNAcentral lists this unclassified non-coding RNA (334 nucleotides) under soil metagenome. Its description in RNAcentral is "partial contains 5.8S ribosomal RNA, internal transcribed spacer 2, and large subunit ribosomal RNA". The stretch from base 1 to 120 matches the Rfam family "5.8S ribosomal RNA", at positions 35 to 154 of the family's 154-position model. The record is from RNAcentral.